UACAGAGGGUGCAAGCGUUGUUCGGAAUUAUUGGGCGUAAAGCGCGUGUAGGCGGCCAGGCAAGUUGGGUGUGAAAGCCCUCGGCUUAACCGAGGAAGUGCGCCCAAAACUACUUGGCUUGAGUACCGGAGAGGAUGGUGGAAUUCCCGGUGUAGAGGUGAAAUUCGUAGAUAUCGGGAGGAACACCAGCGGCGAAGGCGACCAUCUGGACGGAUACUGACACUGAGACACGAAAGCCAGGGGAGCGAACGGG
RNAcentral lists this ribosomal RNA (253 nucleotides) under uncultured bacterium. RNAcentral describes it as "partial 16S ribosomal RNA". It matches the Rfam family "Bacterial small subunit ribosomal RNA", at positions 524 to 776 of the family's 1533-position model. The record is from RNAcentral.